Tilletiaria anomala is the source of this 104-nucleotide transfer RNA. It matches the Rfam family "tRNA". From Rfam's summary of the family: Transfer RNA (tRNA) molecules are approximately 80 nucleotides in length. Their secondary structure includes four short double-helical elements and three loops (D, anti-codon, and T loops). Further hydrogen bonds mediate the characteristic L-shaped molecular structure. tRNAs have two regions of fundamental functional importance: the anti-codon, which is responsible for specific mRNA codon recognition, and the 3' end, to which the tRNAs corresponding amino acid is attached (by aminoacyl-tRNA synthetases). tRNAs cope with the degeneracy of the genetic code in two manners: having more than one tRNA (with a specific anti-codon) for a particular amino acid; and 'wobble' base-pairing, i.e. permitting non-standard base-pairing at the 3rd anti-codon position. The record is from Rfam. NCBI's taxonomy places the organism in Eukaryota, Fungi, Basidiomycota, Exobasidiomycetes, Georgefischeriales, Tilletiariaceae.
GGCCGCAUAGCUCAGUGGUAGAGUGUUACUUUCCGACUGCCUCACGUAACAGUGAGCCUGGAGGUGACUGGUAAAUGUCGUCGGUUCGACCCCGGCUGUGGUCG